This is a long non-coding RNA of Poecilia latipinna (sailfin molly), 219 nucleotides long. RefSeq lists it as uncharacterized. The transcript is spliced from 3 exons. The record is from RefSeq and is a predicted model, not a curated record. NCBI's taxonomy places the organism in Eukaryota, Metazoa, Chordata, Actinopteri, Cyprinodontiformes, Poeciliidae.
UUCCAGUCUCUGUUCUUGGUCAUGGAUGACUUUGUUCGUGACACACUAGCCAAGGCUGGUCUGAGUGACUUGAUUAAAGUAUUUAAAGAUGAAGGGAUUGAUACAGAAACUUUUUAUAUGCUUCAGGAUGCAGACAUCGAAAAGUUGAUUCCAAAAAUGGGAUCAAGGUUAAAAUUCAAAAAGUUAAUCAGACGGUUAAAGGCAGAACAAACCCCAAAU